RNAcentral lists this ribosomal RNA (445 nucleotides) under uncultured bacterium. RNAcentral describes it as "SSU rRNA". It matches the Rfam family "Bacterial small subunit ribosomal RNA", at positions 26 to 518 of the family's 1533-position model. The record is from RNAcentral.
AGAACGAACGCUGGCGGCAUGCCUAACACAUGCAAGUCGAACGAGACCUUCGGGUCUAGUGGCGCACGGGUGCGUAACGCGUGGGAAUCUGCCCUUGGGUACGGAAUAACAGUGAGAAAUUACUGCUAAUACCGUAUGAUGUCUUCGGACCAAAGAUUUAUCGCCCAGGGAUGAGCCCGCGUUGGAUUAGCUAGUUGGUGGGGUAAAGGCCUACCAAGGCGACGAUCCAUAGCUGGUCUGAGAGGAUGAUCAGCCACACUGGGACUGAGACACGGCCCAGACUCCUACGGGAGGCAGCAGUGGGAAUAUUGGACAAUGGGCGAAAGCCUGAUCCAGCAAUGCCGCGUGAGUGAAGAAGGCCUUAGGGUUGUAAAGCUCUUUUACCCGGGAAGAUAAUGACUGUACCGGGAGAAUAAGCCCCGGCUAACUCCGCGCCAGCAGCCGC